GACGAACGCUGGCGGCGUGCUUAACACAUGCAAGUCGAACGGAAAGGCCCUGCUUUUGUGGGGUGCUCGAGUGGCGAACGGGUGAGUAACACGUGAGUAACCUGCCCUUGACUUUGGGAUAACUUCAGGAAACUGGGGCUAAUACCGGUUAGGAGCUCCUGCUGCAUGGUGGGGGUUGGAAAGUUUCGGCGGUUGGGGAUGGACUCGCGGCUUAUCAGCUUGUUGGUGGGGUAGUGGCUUACCAAGGCUUUGACGGGUAGCCGGCCUGAGAGGGUGACCGGCCACAUUGGGACUGAGAUACGGCCCAGACUCCUACGGGAGACAGCAGUGGGGAAUAUUGCACAAUGGGCGGAAGCCUGAUGCAGCAACGCCGCGUGCGGGAUGACGGCCUUCGGGUUGUAAACCGCUUUCGCCUGUGACGAAGCGUGAGUGACGGUAAUGGGUAAAGAAGCACCGGCUAACUACGUG
This 468-nucleotide ribosomal RNA is filed under the name uncultured bacterium. RNAcentral's name for it is "partial 16S ribosomal RNA". It matches the Rfam family "Bacterial small subunit ribosomal RNA", at positions 28 to 507 of the family's 1533-position model. The record is from RNAcentral.